CUGGCCUUGACAUGCAGAGAACUUUCCAGAGAUGGAUUGGUGCCUUCGGGAACUCUGACACAGGUGCUGCAUGGCCGUCGUCAGCUCGUGUCGUGAGAUGUUGGGUUAAGUCCCGUAACGAGCGCAACCCCUAUCCCUAGUUGCUAGCAGUUCGGCUGAGAACUCUAGGGAGACUGCCGGUGACAAACCGGAGGAAGGUGGGGAUGACGUCAGGUCAUCAUGGCCCUUACGGCCAGGGCUACACACGUGCUACAAUGGCGCGCACAGAGGGCUGCAAACCCGCGAGGGGGAGCCAAUCUCACAAAACGCGUCGUAGUCCGGAUCGCAGUCUGCAGCUCGACUGCGUGAAGUCGGAAUCGCUAGUAAUCGUGAAUCAGAAUGUCACGGUGAAUACGUUCCC
This 400-nucleotide ribosomal RNA is filed under the name uncultured bacterium. RNAcentral describes it as "bacterial SSU rRNA". It matches the Rfam family "Bacterial small subunit ribosomal RNA", at positions 975 to 1375 of the family's 1533-position model. The record is from RNAcentral.